AAUUUAAUAGUUAAUUUAAUAAAAAAUAUAAUAUAAGUUAAGAUGAACUUACCUAUUUUUCUAAGAAUUUUGAAUUUCAAGGAUAUACAAGUCUACAUUAAAGGAAUCGAAGAGGAAACGACCUACACAUCGAAGAGCAAUGUUUUCAACAAAAGCAACUAGCGAUACGACUAUACUUAGUCUAUGUAAAAAUUGUGAUGCAGUAUGUUACUCACCAAACUGAUUAAUCCAGCCCGCUAAAGAGCAAGAACGAUAAUCUAAUAGACUCAACUAGUACAAUCGUCAAUAUAUUUAUCAUCAAUUAAUUUUAUAUUAUUUGCAUUAAUUAAUAUAUGACAUUUGUCUUCUUAACUAUUAUAUAAGAUUAAGAGAUAAUGAGUCAAUAUAUUUAUCAUCAAUUAAUUUUUAGGUUAAACGUCAUUUAACUUAAUAUCUAUAUAUAUAAAAAUAUGUUUGCUUCACUCCUGUGCGUCCACGUCAGCGCCUGAUUAAAAACUCUUGCUCUAUGAGAUCGACACGUGGCGUUGCAUUUUAAAUCAAUUCUGAUCUGCGCUUCGGCGAUUUAUUCCUAUUUUGUUUAAUGGGCUUCUAAUUAAACCUCGUGAGAUGUUCCAGUUAAUUAAUUCCAACCCGUGAACCGAAACAUCAAAGGUCGACGAGUUCUCGCAGUUGCCUUCCUUGAUAGAUCUAGGGUUCUUCGCUCUGAGUUUGUGAUCAAGCCAGACUCUAAUGGAGGUUGUUCGAGGUUCACAGUCUCAAAUAUCUGUCUGGAAUCACUGAUUUGGUGACUUUCGCGACGUUUCGCACAUGAUUCGUCGACUAUGUUAUGUUACGGUAUUAAGUGUUCCUCCCCUUAAGCAUCAAUCUUUCCUCCUUGGAUCCACGACGCCCACGAUUUCUCAUUCAUUAAUACCCAGCUUCUAGAGAAUUUAUUGGCUGCAUAGGGAGAGAAUCCAUAAAACACUCAGUUAACCCUUUUUAUUGCAUACAUGGUUGGGAAGACUUACACCCUCCAGGUCAGGAUUAGUAGCUACAACUUCACAGCCAAUCACCAAACCUUCACUAUAUUUCGCAUAUUGAACGAGCCUGAUCGUCUGCCACUGCAUGACUUUGUAACUCAAGACGGCUUCGAUGAUAAUGACGCUGAUAUGCCUGGGAGUGUAUCGGUGCCUACUAAGGUGGACAUUGAUGACACUGAUUAUGAGGAGGUACCAACUGCAGUAACUACUUCAACGGGUGUUAACAACAGUAAGUCUCUCACUGCAGGGACUUCCAAGGUUUCCAAGAAGGACGGUGUCGCUUAAUGCUUAGGCAUCAAUGUUCUCUGUUUCAAUAAUGCUUAGGCAUCAAUAUUGGGUUUUUUUAAGACGUGACAUCUGCUUCUGUUUUUUUAAUUUCUAAACAAUGUGUAUUUUCUGAAAUAUAUUUUAAAUUAUGUUUGGCUUUAAGGUUUGUACGACUGGUUUAAGUUUACGCAAACCUAUAAAUAGUUUCCCUUAGUUCAACAGAUUUUGUUUUGAAUGAAUCAAGAAUUCAAGUAGAUACAAGGGAUGGUGCACCUAAUUCCUACCCAUUAGCGAUGAAACAUUAGCCGGUCAUUUUAUAUAAUACUAUCAGACCUAAAACUAUUAGGUACGGCUCAGUCAUUAAAUAGGCCCAUGCCUAAAUUCAGAGAAAUCCUAAAUCAUUCUAACAAACAAGAAUCAUGGGUCACAAAGUCUGAGUGCUGACAAAAAAAAAGUUAUUAUGUAAAUAUUUUUCAUAUACGUUUGAAAUACAUUAACCUAACUAAGCAUAAAAUUCCUAUGAAAAAAUUCAAUAUUUUGUAGUUACGACAAAAAUACUCCCAAAAAUAAACCGGGGGAGGUUCAGGAAAAUAUAUACCAAAAUUAAGAAAACAAAUUACUGUGUGUCAUUAAAAAAUAUAUAUAUAUAUAUCCUAAAUAUAUAUGUGUUUGGAUACAACAAUACAAUGAAUUGUAUCCUAAAGACUUGCCCAUAUCCAACUACCGUUGGUCGAAGGUUUAUAUGCUUAUCAAAGUCUGCAUAUUAUGAUUUUAAAGUAAUUAUUGUUUUGAUUCUACUUUAUAACUUUAUAUUAUAGUAAUGGACUAUAAUAGAUAAUUAAUUUCAUAAUAAUAUAAUUUUAAAAAUCAUGCACAAAAUAGCUAUUCAGUGAAUCGAUGUUACAUGAUCCAAAAAUGCAGCUUGCAAUAUAUCUAUUGAAAAAUAUAAUAUUAUGAAAAUAAAAUAACUAUAUUUCAUAAAAAAUUACUAAACAAAAUUAUGGUAAAUUUUUAAGGAAAUAAUAAACUAAUUAUAUAUAUAUAUAUAAAAUAAAACCAAUGUACAAAAAUCAUAUUCAAAAGGUAAUCAAAUAAAAAUAAAACAACAACCAAUUAUACUCUAAAACUAAUAAUAAUAUUUGUUUAAUAAUCUUAAUCAGUUUGGAUGAUAUGGUUUAAUUGAAUUUUUUAAUAAAAUAUGUAUAUUCUUAAAUAAUCAAUUUCAGAAACAAAAUUAAAAUUUUCAUAUUAUCUACAACAGUAGGUUUAGAAAUGUAUAAAAAGAAAAAGGUAAAAUAAUUACAUUAAUGAAAAAUAUUUUUUUAUUAAUUUAUAAAAUCUUUUAUUUUUAGUAAAAAAACAAAUAGUAAAGAUUAACAUUAUUUUAGUUUAGAGCAAACCAAGUAUUCUUACACGUAUAUUAAAAUAUAAUCUAUUUUUAAUUAUUUUUCAUUUGCUUACCCGUCAAUAGGAUGAGAUCAUAUAAAACAAAUCAACUUCAGAGUUCUACAAUUUCACAUGAAACACAUCAAAUUCCUUCUCCGGUUAUUAAGAAGACUUUUAAAAACAAUACAAAUUAAUACAAAAGGUUAACAUUUACUUCUUAUUGGAUUCUUAAAUGGUAUGGAUAAAAAUAAUUAAACAAAUAGAAACAUAUGCAAAUUUCUUCAAAAACAUCCGUAUAAAUAUACUAUUAGGUAGGAGUACGCUGCACUAAAAUUAUAUAAAACUCACCGAUUAUUUGGUCGAUAAGAUAUUACUAAACCGAGACGGAGAUAACAAAAUCAAAAAUAAAUUGAUCCAACAACAUAUUCAACUACUUAAAAACGUUACAUAAUCCAAAUCCCGCGCGUAACGCGGACCGACCCUAGUAGUAUCAUAAUUUGAUCUAUAUUAUCCAUUCUGAUCUAUAAUCAAUCAGAUCCAAAGCUGGUCAAUUGAUCAUUAUCUAAAUAUUAUAUGAUUUACGACAAAAAUAUCAUUAUCCCAAAUUAAGUAUCAGAAACAAUGUUUCACAUCGGAACUUGAAAGGAUCCUAAUUGCUUUUUUUUAACACCAAAUCCCUUACCAUCUCUCUAAACAGAGAGAGAAACAUAGUCAAACAUUACAAAGAACAUCUUUAGCUAACGUAUCAGCUAGCGAAUUGAAACGUCUCGAAAUAAAAGAGAAAGUACAUAUAUUCAAUAUCAUUGGUAAUUCCGUAGAGUUCAGCCAGAGAGGACGUUGUAGAGGUAAUCAACACUUUUUUUAUUAUAAAAUGUUAAAUAUUAUACCAAUUUUCGUUUUGGACGGAAGUUACAACACAAUGACUGGUAGCGAAAAUGAAAAACAACAAUACAACAACAAAAACAAUCUACGGACAACAACGACACUUUUUCUAAGGUCUGUUCAACACUUGACGGUCUGAGUUAACACAGAUUAGAAAUGGUCCUCAUUUUACCCAAAAAACUAAUGGUUCUCCAUCGUGUUUCUUAUUUUUGCUAACUAGUGUAUUUUUCAACAUACUAUUCCGAAAAUAUUAUAUAGUUUUAGCAACAAAAGAUGAAAAUAAUAUAUAUAUAUAGUUUUUACAAAAUUAGGUUACUUUGUAAAUUGGAGUCAAUUUAGUUAAUCUUAUCAAGAAAGACAAUUAGGUGAUAGAACUAUUUUUAUGCAAACCAGCGGGGUUAGCCUAGUGGUACUUGAGGGAGCUUCGGCCCUGAUACGGUUCCGGGUUCGAUUCCCACUGGCCACACGGAUAUGAGCUAUGCUUUCGGCUCAUUUGAAUGCCCAGGAGAGGGUCUAUCCGUGGGUUGUAUCUCUACCCGGAGGUUAGGUCUGUGUCUUUAAUAGACCCGGGUUUAACCCUUUUUGUUUUAAAAAAAAAAAAACUAUUCUUAUGCAUGAACAAUCAAGGAAGAACCCCGACAGUUUGGCAACCAAAGAUAUCAGUCAAAUCUGGAAUAGUGCUACUGUAACUAUGAUCUGUCUUUUGCUUUACUUUUCGACCAAGCAACUUAUUGACUAUUAGGAUAGUAUUUUUUUUUGGUCAUACUAUUACGAUAGUAUAUGUAACACUAAUUAAGCAACUAUAUCUUACAACUGUAAUAUAAUUAUGUACUCUCAGUCAACGAAAUACACUUGAAAUUCUUGAAGCUAGUAUCAAAACCGUGCCUGAAUUUUGUAGGCCCCCAAGCACAAAAUAUAUUUUGGCUCUUUAAUUACUUAUUUUGUUAAAAACAUUAAAAUUUAUGGGCAAAAAAUCGAACUCCCACCCCUUUAUCGAAUAGAAUUGGACAAACACCAGUAGAACUAACUACACUUUGAUAAAAAUAUUGGUCCUUAAAAUACUUACACACAUCAGGGUCCCAAACAUGUGUUUGGUCAGCCUAUAGUCAGGGACGGCCCUGACCACUAUUCUUUUCUCUGUUUCAGUAGUUUAACAAACACUCACAUGUACAUCAUAUUAUCUAAAAAGAAGAAAAAACAUAUUUGUACCCAUAAGCCUUUUAUAAAAAAAAACAUGUUAUUGUAAACUAGGUUAGUUUUAAAGGAGAAAAGUAAUAGAAUAGAAUGAUGGAAAUAUCUAAAUUUUACUUUUGACAUUAAUGAAAUAUUUGAACUAGACCGGUCGUUGGUUCAAUCCACCGGUACAAUUAUUAUAUGUCAAAUGGUUUUCAGAGUUGCAUAAUCAAUUUUAUGCACUACAUACAAGUUUAUAAAAAUGGAAAAAGUAAAUAAUCAUAGGGAAAACAAAGAAAAUAAAAGCAAUUAAAGUUAGCUUUUAGAUAGCAAAAAAAAAUAUCAAAACUAAAAAAAAAAAUAUCCAUUCAUAAAAUAAGAAAAUUAAUAACAGAAAUUCGCUAAAUUAUUAAUGUUUUUGCUUAUCCAAGGAAAGAAGGUUCAGGAUAAACAGCAGAAGCGCCUGCAUGAAAUAAGUUGUCAAAGAAGGUUACGGGCUCUCUUAUCUCUCUGUAGUCUGUAGUCGCUUAGCUUCAAGUGCAGCACCUUUAUUAAUCAUAUCCCUAGCAUCACUCUCCAUACCAAGCUCCCAAAGUGCUAAAGCCUGCAAGUAAAACGCAGUAGGCCACCCCGGUAUGCAAAAUUGAGCCUUCAUUGCGUCUCCCAACGCAGGAUCACGUUCACCCGUCACUAAGUAGGAGAAAGACCUUCUCGCAAAUACAGUCGCAUAUGGACUACUGGUCAUCAUCCUCACCAACUGGUAACAAAAAAAAACAGGUUUACAAGGAGUUUUAGAUAUAAUACACUUAUCUAAUAUGAUUGGAGUUUGCUGUUUGUUUGUUUUGUUUUAUCUAUUACUCUUUCUGUUUCGUAUUAUUUUUAUUUUUUGAACUACUCAUAUUAUAUAUUUUUUAACGUUUUUUCACAUAUUAAAAUCUUAGAAACGUGAUUUGUGAAAUGAUUUUUAGAAAUUUACUUAUGCGUUAUCAUCGCAUUGAUAUUUAAAGAAAAAAUAAUGAUAAUAAAAAAAUGUGACAUAUCUUCUAUCUUAUUAUGACAUUUACGAUUUUAAUGACAAGUAGUUUGAUUUUAGAAAUAUUCUUAAAAUAAGUUGAUUAAUUUUUUUGCCAACAUACCAUAAAAGUAAAUUCCUAAAAUAAGAUAAUGACAAAAUUUUACAUACCAUACAUAUAAAUUAUAUACACAACUAUUAUUAAAAUUCUUAUAAUAUACUAUAACUGAUAGUAUAAAUAUCUAAAUCCCGUCAAAUUAAUUGUAAAUAUAUUCUAACAAAUGCAAACAAAAAAAUUGAUUAAAAUUCAAAAUUUUGUAAAUAUCUAAUAAUUUAAAUAUUUAAAAGUUAUAAUUAGAUCAACUAAUUAGCAUAAAUAUGUGAUUAAUUAAGUUUUUUAAGUAUUAAAUUUAUUUGAAAUUAAACUCUAUAAAAUGCAUCAGUUGUAUGAUUGACAAUUAAUUAAGAUAAAUAUGAUAAAAAGUUUAAUUGAUCAAUAUAUUUUAACCAAAAAUAUAUACAACAAAAUCUACACUAAAUUAUAGUGUUUAAAAAUUUAUUUAAAAUAAAUAUAUCCAUUCUUCACUUUCACUUAACUGUAACUAUAACUUUAAUAAAUAAUAAAUAAAUAAAAAUAUUUUAAAAUUAAAUGGAAAACCUACAUAAAUAAUUAUUUAUGAUUUCAGUUUUUGUUUUUAAACCGGUUAGACAUAUAAUUAAAUUUUUAAAUAAAACUAUUUUAAGAAGAAUAUCUUUGCGCAUGCAUAGGAAACCACCUAGUCACAACUAAAUGCUCUGUUUUGUUUCUAAUUAAUGUAUUAAUUUGUUGUAGUUUGAUAAUUGUGGAAAUAAAAGAAUAUGGAUAAAACUGAAAAAAAAUAUAAAAUAAAUUUUAGAAUAAAACAAAUUUUAAAGUGCAGAAUUGACGAUGUAUAUGAAACGGCUAGAGUACCUUUGAAUAAUAUUUAAUCGCGUUAAUGAAGUCCUGGUCUCUGAAAGCAUUGUCUCCCAAGUUCUUUGUUUGAACCAGUUCCUGGUUUUGUCGUGUCACUAGAAGCUGUGGAGGCAAAGUGGAGAUAAUAUUAGAACGUGAAAAACCAAAUGGAAGAACUAGCUAGGUUAAUGAUUUGUCUCCAAGUACAUCACUCUCUGCUCCUUCGUCGCUGUAACCAGUUUUAAGCAAAAUCUCGUACACAGCCGAGUGGUCCAUCCGAGAACAAGCCUUUUUGAGAGGAGAAAGCAUGGUUGGCUGUAUUACUGUACUCUUAGGCAGACGCAUCAAGAAAUAAGAUGCAAUCUAAACAUAAACACAAAAAUUAAUUAUUUGGUACAAGAAAAUAUUGAGUAUUCGUUUAUAUGAUUCUUUAACCUCUUCCAAUUUUUGUAGUGGUGCUGCUGCAGAGACAAGAGAUUCAGUAUCAGGUCGAUCUUCCGGGUUCUUUUGAAGACAUUUCGAAGCAAGAUUAAGAAGCUUAGUCGCGUCUUCACUCUCAAAUCUCCCUUCAAGUGAUGAAUCCAUGAGUAGCAUCGCAUUUUUCUCCAUUAUGAUAUCAAAAGCCUGACAUAUUGAAACAUUCAUCACUAGUCUCAUAUUAAGAUGACAAAUUAGUGAAAUGAAACAAGAAAAUUUUCAGGGACAUUACAUGGUUCGGUGGAAUGUGUUUGCCGCUCACAAGUUCUAUAAGAACAUUUCCAUAACUGUAAAUCACACUCUCAGGAAUAAUUGUACCUAACAAAUGUGAAAGAUAACCGUUGAAUUCAUCUAAAUCAAGAAAGUACUAUAAGAAUGAAGAUUCUUUACCUGUUUCUGAAAACUCUGGUGGAGCGUAAGUCAAGUUAGUGCUAUAGCUUAUUCCGUCUCUGCGGUUCUUGAUGAGACCAAAAGUUGAUAGACGAGGAUCACCUUCCUCAUCAAAGAGGAUUCUGGAUGCACUUAAAUCAUGAUAGAUCUUUUGGUUUUUGACGUUGCAGUAAUCAAGUGCUUGUGCAAUAUAAUAUGCAACUCGAACACGCAUUUCCCAAGGAAUUUCCUGUCUGUUCCCUACACAACAAAAGAGAGCAUCAUUUCUCUAAGCGAAGAUCUAAAGGGAAGUAGUCAGAUAAAAGAUUAGAGGAACAUCUUACAGUAAAAAAGAUGCUUUGAGAGAGUACCAUAGGGCAUAUACUCAGCCACCAACAAUCUCUCGCCUCUUUCAACGCAAUAACCAAGCAGAUUGACCAAUCUCUUGGACCUAAGCUUUCCAACAGCAGUCGCCUGAUCCUGAUUCCACAAGUCAAAACAAUAGUCAAGGCAAGAUCAACUAUUACAAUUCAGACAAGAUAAACAGACAAAAAAAAAAGUUCCAAUGCAUCUUUUCUUUCAGCCUAAAGUUUCAGACAUACAUUAGCAUAUUCUAUGGUCAAGAUAGACACUAACUAAAGUAUUAUUUUCCCCUUUUACAACUAAAUAAACCGUUUAGUCUUCAACUAGUCACUGAUAAUCAAUGAAACAUAAUAAAGUCUGAAAUUUUGAACUAGCCCUUUUUAAGAUUCUUACCACAAAGUGCUGAGCAUCAGGCCAAGUCAGUUUAGAGAAUCGCUUGACAGCGACGAGAACAUUGCCUUCGAGCUUUCCUAUGUAAACCUCAUUGAAAUCUUUCACCCCACCUUCAGAGACAAUGCAACUGGGACUAAACUCAUUUAUUAUGUAGAAUAAUUCACUUAAUGUAAAUUUUUUGAAACAUGGGAUUUGAUUCUCCUGUUCCACUUGGUUCUCAUGAUCCACUUGGUCCUCAUGAUCCACUUGGUCCUCAUGAUCCACUUGGUCCUCAGUUACUGAAACACAAAAACAGUUUUAUCAUCAGAAAGGGGUUAGGGGAGUUAUAGGAGUGUAGUUCAGAGAGGUAUACACUUUCCAUCUCAUUCCUACUUUGCACCAACACCCACAAUCAUUAAACCACACGCACACAGGAGUUAAGACAGAACUAGGCAAAAGACAAACUAAUCUACACUACCACUAAGAACAAAAUUAGAGUUAAACCUGAUUCUAAUUGGUGCUGAACUGAUGGAUGAUCAGGAGAAGUGAUCACAUCAGCAUCUUUGGACUGGAAACAGCCCAUCAAAAGAAAUGAGAUUCUUCCAAGCAAUGGGAAAUGUGAAAGAGUAAGUUGAUAAUCAAAAAUGAUUAUGCCGAGAGAAGAUUGUGCCUCUCGCUCUGAGUGAGUUUGGAUUAUAUAUUAUGUUUGGCAUUGUUCUAUGUAUAAGGGGGAGAGGCAAAACAAGAAUAAAACUGAAAAUUAUCACAGAAAGAGUAAGAAUAUAUAUAUUUUUGAAAACAAUUGAGAGAGAAGUAGGUUUUUUGAGUUUCUGUUUUAACAUAUAUAUAUAUAAAUCCAAUCAAAAGGAUUAUUUACCAUAAAAUGAUUGACUUUAAUUAUAUAUUACCAACCAACAGCUAAGAUAUACUCCUUACAUAAAAUCCUUACAGGAAAGUCUAAACGCCAAUCAAAAGCUACAGAAUGUCAAAUAAAAAAAAAUAUUUCAUGCGAAACAAAAUAUAUACCUUAACUUGCAUGCAUGUAUCUAACACAAGACUCUUUGUCUAAUCAGAGAGCUAGUUUGCUUCUCUAAUUAAUUCCUUUUAUUUCAUGCUAGAAGUUGGAAGUAGUGUUUCCUUUAUGCUGACGCAUUUUGGUUAUUUACCUAUGGAUAUGUAAAGCUAUCAUGCCUAUGAGAAAGACCUUCUCUCAAAUACAGUCGCAUAUGGAACGGUCAUCAUCCUCACCAACUGGUAAAAAAAAACAGGUUUACUAGUUGUUUUAGAUAUGAUACACUAACUAGAUUUUGAUCCGCGCUUUCAAAGCGAGGAAAUAUAUUUGUUGACAAAUUUAUUGAUAUAACUGUUUGUUAAUUAAUUUAUUUCGCUAUAAACAUUUUCGGUUUUCGUUCGACUCUAAUUUGCUUUUAUUGGUUUUCAAUUUCAGUUUGGUUGUGGUUUUUGGUUUAGAAAUAUAUGAAAAAUUUUGGUUAUAUAUGAAGUUGAGUUUUGGUUAAAGUGAUUGAAUAUUUUGAUAUUUUGUGUGGUAUGGAUAUAUAAAAAUUUCGAAUUUAUUGGAUCUUUUUGUCAUCCGUCCGAUUGUCCAUUUCGAUUGUUUUCGGUUGUGGUUACAUUUCUGUUUUAAAUCAUUUCAAAUAAUUGAGGUAAAAUAAAAAAAAUAUUUAUAUUGUGAAUCACCAAUAUAAUACAAUGGGAGAAAUAUUUAAAAAAUUAUUUUAUUUACAUAUCUAUUUAUUUAAGGUAUAAAUAAUAUAGGAAAGAAUAACAAAUAAUUUUAAUAACGUAAAGUUACUAUAUUAAGAAACAAAUGUUAUAGUUUUAUUAAAAAUAUAAUCUGUAAUGUUUAUAUUAUGAAAAAAUUAUAAUGUCGAUAUUUUAUAUUUUCAAAUAUUUUAAUUUGCUGAAAAGAAUUAAAAUGAGACGCACUAUUACUUGAUUUUAAAAUCACAUGCAAAAAUGAUCAAGUUGGGUCGCAAAAACCAAUUCAACCAAAAAGCAAAGAAAACAUAUAUCUUAUUUUAUUUUAAUAGGCCCAAGUCCACUGCCAUUGCAAAUCUAGUUUAUUGUUUUAACCGACAAAAUCAGGUUUAUUAUUGGAAAAAUCACUAAGUUAAUGAAAAAUUUUGUAAUUAAUUAGAAAAGUCAGGAGCAUAAUCCCAAAAAAUAUUAUGCUUUAAUAGUAUAGAUCUGAUGAUUGGAUUUUUCUGUUUGUUUAUUUUGUUUUGUUUUGUUUUAUUUAUGAGUUUCGUUUCAUAUUAAAUAUCGUUUAAGGUUUUUUCACACCUCUUAAAAUCUCUUAAACUUGAUAUGUUAAAUAUUUUUUAAAUUUGCUUGUGUCAUCAUCACAUUGAUUUUGAAAAAAAAAAUAUAAUAACAUGAUUUAGUAAGAAAUGUGACAUAUAUUCUAUCUUAUUAUGACAUAUAUUUAAUGAAAAAUAUUUUGAUUUUAGAAAUAUUCUUAAAAUAAGUUGAUAAAAAAUAAUUUGACUACAUACCAUAACAGUAGAUUCUUAAAAUGAGAUAAUGAUUAAAUUUGGCAACAUACCAUAACUGUAAAUCAUAUACAUAAUUAUUAUUAAAAUUAUGAGAAAAUACUAUAAUUGAUAGUAUAAAUAUAUAUACCCUGUCAUAUUAAUUUUAAAUAUAUCAUAACGAAAAAAUGGUUAAAAUUCAUAAUUCUAUGAAUAUUUAACUAAAUAUUUUAAAGUUAUACUUAGAUCUAUUAAUUAGCAUAAAUAUUUGAUUAGUUGAGUUUUCAAGUAUUGAAUUUAUUUGAAUUUAAACGCUAUAAAAUGCAUCGUAUAAGACUGACAAAUUAAGAUAAUACAAUAAUAAAAUUAAUUGAUUAAUAUAUUUCAACCAACAAAUGUAUAAAAAACAUGUACAUGAAAUUAUAGUGUUAAAUAUAAACCUAUUUAAAAUAAAUAUAUCUAUUUUCAUUUUAACUUAAUUUUAACUAAAACUUAACUAAAUAAAAAUUAAAUUAAAAUAUUUUUAAACUAAGUAGAAAAAUUAAAUAAAUAAUAAUUAAUGAUUUCAGUUUUUAUUUUAAAACAGGUAAAACAUAAUUUUUAAAUAUAACUUUUUAAAAACAUUUCUUCGCAUGCACAAGAAACCACCGAGUUACAACUAAAUGCUAUGUU
Brassica napus (rape) is the source of this 11418-nucleotide long non-coding RNA. RefSeq lists it as uncharacterized. The record is from RefSeq and is a predicted model, not a curated record. Lineage: Eukaryota; Viridiplantae; Streptophyta; Magnoliopsida; Brassicales; Brassicaceae. The transcript is spliced from 3 exons.